This 3123-nucleotide long non-coding RNA is filed under the name Vigna radiata. Its description in RNAcentral is "long non-coding RNA (VRAD_LNC015086)". Lineage: Eukaryota; Viridiplantae; Streptophyta; Magnoliopsida; Fabales; Fabaceae. The record is from RNAcentral.
UUUGAAGAGAAUGAGAGCUGUUUGGAAUGGUUUGGAAGGCUGGGACAGGCACAUGGGCACAUCAUCCCUCACACACUCGUCAAUGGAGAUGUGAUACAAGAAUGUCAAGGUGAAAUGGGAUACACAAAGGUUGCCCCAGUUUGGUGUUUUGGAAAAUGAACAUAGGUUUGGAUCUAUGGAAAAUAAUGUGAAAAAUUCAAAUGAGAUUUGCAAAGCUGCCCCAGUCUUGGGAUUGUGGGUUGAUGAAAAACUCGGGUGAGACUGACAAAGUUGCCCCGAUUUUUUGGUAAGGGGUUCUGUCUGGAAGAAGUAGUGGACAUGAAAAGGAUCGACUAAAAGGAUGGCCCCAAUGGGUUUGAUUUUUCUUUUGCAUGCUUCUGGUUGGAUGGCAGGGUGAUCCCCUCUUCCCUAGACAUCACUUUUUCUUCUUUUUUUUCAUUUUCAAACCUUUUUUUUUUUUUACGACAUAUUGAAUGUCAAUUCACCUUAUCGCAAAAUUAAGCUUCAUGAAAAUUCUAGCAAACAUCAUCCAAUCUGCGUGGACUUUAUUAAGCUUGUAACGUGGCUAAGGGCUAAAAGGUAUUGAAAGGAAGGAUAUAAAGGCGCAAAUGAAUGCUUAUUGGUUAUUUAUUUUAUUUUUUUAAACAAGGGUUAUCAUCUAAGCAUCGCAUCAAUUAUUUGACAUUUUGAGCACUUUGCUUCUUCUUUGAACUUUGGUUUUCAUUCUUUUUGCUUAACAUCACUUUGUGAUUUUUUUUUUGUUCUUUUUUUUUGUUUUUCUUUUGUUUUUUAUUCACUCUUCUUGAUGAAUUCUCUUUGUUUGUUCAUUGCUUAGGGAUAAUUUUGAAAAAGAAAUUAUUUUUGGCUCAAACAGGGUGACAAUGGAUAUAUGUUUUUGCUUUUUGGAUGAAGAAAAGAUGGCCACACAUCAUUUCAAAUUCUGAUUGCUCUAUUUUCAAAAGAUUAGUUUUGCGAUUAAAUGACCUCAACAAGAGUAGUUUUUUUUUUCUUUUUUUUAUUAUUUCUAGACUGCCCUUUCGGGUUUUCAAUCUAGUGGACUUAUUCUCUUUUUGAAAGUUUUUUUUCAUAUUUUUUAUUUUGUCUUAAUGAAUUCGGGGAUCACCCUACUAGCGCAAGCGAGAAAACUUUUGGCGAAGCCAAUCUGCCCCAGUGUAAAAGUUUACUUUGUUAUUAAGGACAACGACGAUGUUUGUUGAGGGGAGAUCCUUUAUUUUGGAAAAGUGAAGGGCGAAGGUUUUCAAGCAGCAUGUGCACAAACGUCUUGUGAGAAACGUCAAAAUUGUUAUUUUUGAUUUACCAUUUGACCUUGGAAAAGUCUGACACUACAACUUUUGUUUUUUAUUGCCAUUUUUCAUCAUUUUUUUUAUUUUCCAAAAACAAGAGUUUGAAGAUUUGCAAGAAAGACAAAUGACUCAAGAUCGCCAUCAUUUUUUCAAUUUUCUUUUUUUCAAUACCCUUUCAGAACUCGAUUUCCAGCACUACUUGGAGAAAUCCUGUAGAGAAAGUUCGCAUUUAAAGUCAUAGAUGACGGCGCGAUAUCAAUGAACACAGAUCUCUUGGCAAGAUACUUCACAACAUCAAAUUCACUCGUAUGAUGACUUAUGUUUUCUUAUGUGUUUCUAGAGCCCGCAUCAUUGUUUCAUAGCAUCUGUAGAGACAUUCUCAAGCCUUGCCUUAGUGUAGGGUUGACUUUCUUUACACUUUAAUAAUUCUGAAUCGACCAAAACUUGUCUUUGCACUUAACAACAGACACUUUUGGUGUAAUGAUCGAUAGCCCCUUCAUGGUGAAUACCUUUCGUAUCGUGAGUCUUGAAGUAUUGAGGGUCUAAAGGCUUCAUGUAACCAUUAGAGACAAGGCCUUUUUGAAGCAAACUUGGAAGCAACGUUGCUUAAGUCAUAUGUAUAGGAGUGAAGCUCGCAGCCUUUUCUCUUGAUCAAACAUUUUCCUGCACAACGGCUUAGUGAGAAGUUGAGUUUGAAUCAAAUAUCCCAUUUGUCUUGCAAUUGUUUCAAGUGAAGUGUAGGCCAACGGGAUUUGAGCGAUAGGAGGUGAUUAAACUCUUUGCUUUCUUCUCUUCGCAAGCUUAAACCCGACUUGUUCAUAUUUGCUAUCAUGGUAUGACCUUGCGUGACCGUUCCAAUCCUCACACUAACUUCAAUUCUUUCUUCAAGUAUCCUCAGGCCUACAAAGUUUGAGGAACGCUGCUCACCAUGGUCUCAUAGAAGGGUGAUCGCAGAGUAUUUAGGAAUGUGUCAACCAUCUCAUUAUCACUGAUAAUAGACUUUUCUUGAGCAACAUUCUUUCCACCUUUGGGUAUAGUCUUUGAAUGAUUUUGACUGCUUUUUCACCAUACUUUGUAGUUGUAAUCCAUGAGAUGUCACAUUCGUGUCAUAUUUGAAAUGCUUCAAGAAAGCAUCCACCAGAUCUUCCCACUACUAGAUGCACUAAGGUUCAAGAUGAUUGCCCCAAUUAAUGCCAUGUCAGCCAAUCUACCUUGGAAGAAAUGAAUUAGCAACCUUUCAUCACAUGCAUGAACGACCAUUUUCUUCCCAUACGCCAUGAGGUGGCUUAUAAGACAAGCGGUCCCUCUGGAUAAUUUAAACUUUGGGAGAUACCACCACAUCUGGGACUAAUCAUAACUCUACAACAUUUUCAAACUUAGAGCUUCCUCCACAUUCUAUGACUGUCAUCUUUUUUCAGCAUUUCAAACUUACCCUUGUCAACCUCAACAUCCAUUUGUGCACAAACAUGGAAAGAAGAUUUCAGCUCGGAUUGCCUUGUUAUCAUCAUGUUGAAGCCUUCUCCUAGGGACCAUGAAAGUGGUUGCCNCAAGCUUGUUCUCCACUUCAACUGCGUUAUCUUUAGCCUUUCGAGUGUGAACUUGCCCCAAGUACGCUCCUGAGGGUGAAGUGCAAUUUAUGGAAGAUCAUGUAAGGGAAAUUUUGGGUUUCUGAUACUCUGUGUUGUAGUCGUGGUGCACACGAAUCUCCAGUUCCCUGUAAAGCAUUCAGGGCCUCUAAGGCUUGGCUCAUUUGCCCCUUCAAUUGUUGGAUAUCAACUUUUCAUCCCUUCUUGAACUUCUCCUUGGUUCUCCAAGAUUU